UUACUCUUACGGGAGGCAGCAGUGGGGAAUAUUGGCAAUGGGCGCAAGCCUGAUCCAGCCAUACCGCGUGGGUGAAGAAGGCUUCGGGGUUGUAAAGCCCUUUUGUUGGGAAAGAAAUCCAGCUGGCUAAUACCCGGUUGGGAUGACGGUACCCAAAGAAUAAGCACCGGCUAACUUCGUGCCAGCAGCCGCGGUAAUACGAAGGGUGCAAGCGUUACUCGGAAUUACUGGGCGUAAAGCGUGCGUAGGUGGUCGUUUAAGUCCGUUGUGAAAGCCCUGGGCUCAACCUGGGAACUGCAGUGGAUACUGGACGACUAGAGUGUGGUAGAGGGUAGCGGAAUUCCUGGUGUAGCAGUGAAAUGCGUAGAGAUCAGGAGGAACAUCCAUGGCGAAGGCAGCUACCUGGACCAACACUGACACUGAGGCACGAAAGCGUGGGGAGCAAACAGGAUUAGAUACCCUGGUAGUCCACGCCCUAAACGAUGCGAACUGGAUGUUGGGUGCAAUUUGGCACGCAGUAUCGAAGCUAACGCGUUAAGUUCGCCGCCUGGGGAGUACGGUCGCAAGACUGAAACUCAAAGGAAUUGACGGA
Molecule: ribosomal RNA, 592 nt
Filed under: uncultured bacterium
Lineage: Bacteria
Description: bacterial SSU rRNA
Rfam family: Bacterial small subunit ribosomal RNA
Source: RNAcentral